CACGUAGGGGGCAAGCGUUGUCCGGAUUUAUUGGGCGUAAAGAGCUCGUAGGCGGUGCGUCGCGUCGGCCGUGAAAACCUGCAGCUUAACUGUGGGCUUGCGGUCGAUACGGGCAUCACUGGAGUUCGGCAGGGGAGACUGGAAUUCCUGGUGUAGCGGUGAAAUGCGCAGAUAUCAGGAGGAACACCGGUGGCGAAGGCGGGUCUCUGGGCCGAUACUGACGCUGAGGAGCGAAAGCGUGGGGAGCGAACAGG
This 254-nucleotide ribosomal RNA is filed under the name uncultured bacterium. RNAcentral's name for it is "partial 16S ribosomal RNA". It matches the Rfam family "Bacterial small subunit ribosomal RNA", at positions 524 to 776 of the family's 1533-position model. The record is from RNAcentral.